This 429-nucleotide ribosomal RNA is filed under the name Acidobacteriota bacterium. Its description in RNAcentral is "Acidobacteria bacterium partial 16S ribosomal RNA". It matches the Rfam family "Bacterial small subunit ribosomal RNA", at positions 355 to 776 of the family's 1533-position model. The record is from RNAcentral. Lineage: Bacteria; Pseudomonadati; Acidobacteriota.
UGGGGAAUUUUGGACAAUGGGGGAAACCCUGAUCCAGCCAUCCCGCGUGUUCGAUGAAGGCCUUCGGGUUGUAAAGCACUUUUGGCAGGAAAGAAACGUCAUGGGUUAAUACCCCGUGAAACUGACGGUACCUGCAGAAUAAGCACCGGCUAACUACGUGCCAGCAGCCGCGGUAAUACGUAGGGUGCAAGCGUUAAUCGGAAUUACUGGGCGUAAAGCGUGCGCAGGCGGUUCGGAAAGAAAGAUGUGAAAUCCCAGAGCUCAACUUUGGAACUGCAUUUUUAACUACCGGGCUAGGGUGUGUCAGAGGGAGGUGGAAUUCCGCGUGUAGCAGUGAAAUGCGUAGAUAUGCGGAGGAACACCGAUGGCGAAGGCAGCCUCCUGGGAUAACACUGACGCUCAUGCACGAAAGCGUGGGGAGCAAACAGG